AUUGAACGCUGGCGGCAUGCUUUACACAUGCAAGUCGAACGGCAGCGCGGGCUUCGGCUUGGCGGCGAGUGGCGAACGGGUGAGUAAUGCAUCGGAACGUGCCCAGUAGUGGGGGAUAGCCCGGCGAAAGCCGGAUUAAUACCGCAUACGAUCUGAGGGUGAAAGCGGGGGACCGAAAGGCCUCGCGCCAUUGGAGUGGCCGAUGUCGGAUUAGCUAGUUGGUGGGGUAAAGGCUUACCAAGGCGACGAUCCGUAGCUGGUCUGAGAGGACGACCAGCCACACGGGGACUGAGACACGGCCCAGACUCCUACGGGGGGCAGCGGUGGGGAAUUUUGGACAAUGGGGGCAACCCUGAUCCAGCCAUGCCGCGUGGGGGAAGAAGGCCUUCGGGUUGUAAACCGCUUUUGUUCGGGAAGAAAUCCUCUGGGCUAAUACCCCGAGGGGAUGACGGUACCGGAAGAAUAAGCACCGGCUAACUACGUG
This 484-nucleotide ribosomal RNA is filed under the name uncultured bacterium. RNAcentral describes it as "partial 16S ribosomal RNA". It matches the Rfam family "Bacterial small subunit ribosomal RNA", at positions 28 to 507 of the family's 1533-position model. The record is from RNAcentral.